This 824-nucleotide ribosomal RNA is filed under the name Aduncodinium glandula. RNAcentral describes it as "eukaryotic LSU rRNA". It matches the Rfam family "Eukaryotic large subunit ribosomal RNA", at positions 1 to 826 of the family's 3401-position model. Lineage: Eukaryota; Dinophyceae; Peridiniales; Pfiesteriaceae. The record is from RNAcentral.
CAAGACAUGAAGUCAGGUCAGCAAACCCGCUGAAUUUAAGCAUAUAAGUAAGCGGAGGAUAAGAAACUAAAUAGGAUUCCCUUAGUAAUGGCGAAUGAACAGGGAUCAGCUCAGGAUGGAAAUCGGGGCCCUUGGCCUUGAAUUGUAAUCUGGAGAGGUACCACCAACUGGGGCGCAGAUGUAAGCCUCUUGGAAAAGAGCAUCAGUGAGGGUGAGAGUCCCGCAUGUCAUCUGCAGUCCCCUGUGUACGGUGUGCCUUCUGAGAGUCACGUUCCUCGGGAUUGGAGCGCAAAUUGGGUGGUAAAUUUCAUCUAAAGCUAAUUAUUGGUUCGAGACCGAUAGCAAACAAGUACCAUGAGGGAAAGGUGAAAAGGACUUUGAGAAGAGAGUUAAAAGUGCCUGAAAUUGCUGAAAGGGAAGCGAAUGGAACCAGUGUAGCUUGGCGAGAUUGUCACGUACCAGCAUGAUUGCUUGCUGCUUCAACGCAAGUGUGGCAGUAGGUCUUGACUGUGCCGUCCGUGGUGCUUCUUGCCUUGUGUGUCUGCACCAGUUCACGGCUGAGGAAAACUUCAGGGACAUGGUAGCCCGACUCCGGUUGGGUGAAUGUGCUUGCUGGAACUCAUCUGUGGUCUGGCUGUUGACUAAAUGGUUUCAUCCGACCCGUCUUGAAACACGGACCAAGGAGUCUAACAUAUGUGCAAGUUCACGGGUGGCAAAACCUGCUUGCGAAAUGAAAGUGACUGCUGGGAUUCUUGCACCAGCAACCGACCAAUCAAUUGAGAGAGGUUUGAGUAUGAGCAUAUCUGUUAGGACCCGAAAGAUGG